RNAcentral lists this ribosomal RNA (513 nucleotides) under Malassezia restricta. Its description in RNAcentral is "partial large subunit ribosomal RNA". It matches the Rfam family "Eukaryotic large subunit ribosomal RNA", at positions 104 to 621 of the family's 3401-position model. The record is from RNAcentral. Lineage: Eukaryota; Fungi; Basidiomycota; Malasseziomycetes; Malasseziales; Malasseziaceae.
AGAGCUCAAAUUUGAAAGCUGGCGUCUUCGGCGUCCGCGUUGUAAUCUCGAGACGUGUUUUCCGUGCGGCUCUAUGGACAAGUCCCUUGGAACAGGGCAUCGUAGAGGGUGAAAAUCCCGUACUUGCCAUGGAAGUACCGUGCUUUGUGAUACACGCUCCAAGAGUCGAGUAGUUUGGGAUUGCUGCUCAAAGUGGGUGGUAGACUCCAUCUAAAGCUAAAUAUCGGGGAGAGACCGAUAGCGAACAAGUACCGUGAGGGAAAGAUGAAAAGCACUUUGGAAAGAGAGUUAAAAGUACGUGAAAUUGUCGAAAGGGAAGCACUUGAAGUCAGCCAUGCUGCUUGAGACUCAGCCUGGCUUUUGCUUGGUGUAUUUCUCGGUGGCAAGCCAGCAUUGGUUUGUGUCGUCGGAGAAGCGUAUGGGGAAUGUGGCAUCCUCGGAUGUGUUAUAGCCCUGUGCAGGAUACGACGACGUAGACCAAGGAACGCAGUGUGCCCUCUGGGCGGGUCUUCG